RNAcentral lists this ribosomal RNA (500 nucleotides) under uncultured bacterium. RNAcentral's name for it is "partial 16S ribosomal RNA". It matches the Rfam family "Bacterial small subunit ribosomal RNA", at positions 30 to 523 of the family's 1533-position model. The record is from RNAcentral.
AUUGAACGCUGGCGGAAUGCUUUACACAUGCAAGUCGAACGGCAGCACGGACUUCGGUCUGGUGGCGAGUGGCGAACGGGUGAGUAAUGUAUCGGAACGUGCCCAGCCGUGGGGGAUAACGUAGUGAAACUUACGCUAAUACCGCAUACGAUCUAUGGAUGAAAGCGGGGGAUCGCAAGACCUAGCGCGAUUGGAGCGGCCGAUAUCAGAUUAGGUAGUUGGUGGAGUACAGGCCCACAAAGCCAACGAUCUGUAGCGGGUCUGAGAGGACGACCAGCCACACUGGAACUGAGUCACGGUCCAGACUCCUACGGGAGGCAGCAGUGGGGAAUUUUGGACAAUGGGCGAAAGCCUGAUCCAGCCAUUCCGCGUGCAGGAUGAAGGCCCUCGGGUUGUAAACUGCUUUUGUACAGAACGAAAAGGUUUCUACUAAUACUAGGAGCUCAUGACGGUACUGUAAGAAUAAGCACCGGCUAACUACGUGCCAGCAGCCGCAGUAA